AUGUUUUCGCAGGGCGCCGCCGACGUUCCGUGCACUCUCCUCCACUUCGUGAACAACGAGUUGGUCGAUGUCGCCAAGGGCAAAAUCGUUCAACCAGGCAACCCCUUGUUCCACGGUACCCAGAUGCCACCCAACUUGUUUAGGGUUCAACUGGUUCGGGUGCUGCCAGGCUGCGACGACUUGUUACCUCCGAUUCGACCCGUCGGGGCCGACGAUGAUGACGUGAUGACCCUCAGCGCCUGCCUGAGCUGGCCCCUGCUUUGGCCGAAGAGCCAGAUUCGUUUGGGGGCGGGGGACACCACCCCAAAGACAACACCGCCAGUCGUGCCGGCGCCAAGUCGGCCCCAUGGCAAGACCGCCGUAUCGGUGCCGGACAUCCCUAUGCCACUGGAUCCAAACAUGCAUAUGGCACAGGAUCAGAACGACGACGAUGACGACGAUGAUACAUUUGGCAACGUCGAUCAGUACUUUGCCGAGCAUGGGUACGAUGGCGACUUCAUGGGGCCUCCUUCUCAAGAACCAAACCCAACAAAAGACGUGUGCGAUCUAGCUCGUACCGCGGAGAAGCCAAGUUGCAACAGGCGUCGUCUGGCGUUCAGCUCUCAGGAGACGCCUCCAGCUGCCGACUUCACCGAGCCUCAGAUAGGCGAGGUGCGAAAUAUUAUCAGCCCCAACACACUCAAGAAGGCGGUCUGUGAGCAGAACUCGGUCCCAUUACAGGAGAAGAAGAAGGCACGCAAAAGAAAGACUAAGAAGGGUGCGAGCCAGCCGACACCGAGUACGAUCCGUGCUCAGGACGGGCCACCUUCACCGCAGGAUAUCUCGAGGAGGGUGCAUGUGGCGGGUAGGGCGAUGCUACCACCAAAUAUGCUCAAUGCUGCAACCGGUGCUAUGCGGAGUCUGCACGACAGUGUUCUUUCUUUGGAGAAGCGGCGUCUCAGAGAGAAGGAUGUGGCAUACCCGGUUUUCGUGGCCAAGGUGCCAGAGGGCAAGGGCUUUGUGGAUGGCGACAUCGGGGGUACGAUCGUCCUGCGGUUUGAUGACAUCUUUGCUAUCUUUAACCUUCAUCCGCUGCACUACACCUUCGUUCGGCUAUUUUUGCUGAGUAUGGAGAUGCGGAUCAUUCGCGACAAGACCCCGGACAUCGUGAUAGUCGACCCCUUCUACAUGCGUGCCAAGAUCUUGGGCAGCGCUGGGGACCGGCAAGUCGCGAGUUCUUACCUCGAAGGCGUCAUUCUGGCAAACCAAGAUAAUGAUAACUUCCUCGUGCCUUACUUUCCCGAGUAA
This 1287-nucleotide ribosomal RNA is filed under the name Triticum aestivum (bread wheat). Its description in RNAcentral is "partial small subunit ribosomal RNA". The record is from RNAcentral. Lineage: Eukaryota; Viridiplantae; Streptophyta; Magnoliopsida; Poales; Poaceae.